CCCUUAGAUGUCCUGGGCCGCACGCGCGCUACACUGAUGCAUUCAACGAGUCUAAAACCUGCUCUGAUAGGGGUGGGUAAUCUUUUGAAUGUGCAUCGUGAUUGGGAUAGAUGAUUGCAAUUUUUCAUCUUCAACGAGGAAUGCCUAGUAAACGCAAGUCAUCCGCUUGCAUUGAUUACGUCCCUGCCCUUUGUACACACCGCCCGUCGCUCCUACCGAUCGAAGAGUUAGGUGAAUUGUUUUGAUCGAUAAGAUUUGACUAUGGUCAACUCUCGUUGUGAAAUUCUGUGAAUCUGACUGUUUAGAGGAAGGAAAAGUCGUAACA
RNAcentral lists this ribosomal RNA (325 nucleotides) under uncultured eukaryote. RNAcentral describes it as "partial 18S ribosomal RNA". It matches the Rfam family "Eukaryotic small subunit ribosomal RNA", at positions 1470 to 1796 of the family's 1831-position model. The record is from RNAcentral.